RNAcentral lists this transfer RNA (70 nucleotides) under Neotoma lepida (desert woodrat). It matches the Rfam family "tRNA". Rfam says of the family: Transfer RNA (tRNA) molecules are approximately 80 nucleotides in length. Their secondary structure includes four short double-helical elements and three loops (D, anti-codon, and T loops). Lineage: Eukaryota; Metazoa; Chordata; Mammalia; Rodentia; Cricetidae. The record is from Rfam by way of RNAcentral.
GGGAGACAGCUCAAUGGUUAAGAGCAUUGGCUGCAAUUCUAGAGGACCUGGGUUCGAUUCCCAGCUCCCA